RNAcentral lists this ribosomal RNA (497 nucleotides) under uncultured bacterium. RNAcentral's name for it is "partial 16S ribosomal RNA". It matches the Rfam family "Bacterial small subunit ribosomal RNA", at positions 28 to 507 of the family's 1533-position model. The record is from RNAcentral.
GAUGAACGCUGGCGGCGUGCCUAAUACAUGCAAGUCGAGCGAACAGAUGAGGAGCUUGCUCCUCUGACGUUAGCGGCGGACGGGUGAGUAACACGUGGAUAACCUACCUAUAAGACUGGGAUAACUUCGGGAAACCGGAGCUAAUACCGGAUAAUAUAUUGAACCGCAUGGUUCAAUAGUGAAAGACGGUUUUGCUGUCACUUAUAGAUGGAUCCGCGCCGCAUUAGCUAGUUGGUAAGGUAACGGCUUACCAAGGCGACGAUGCGUGGCCGACCUGAGAGGGUGAUCGGCCACACUGGAACUGAGACACGGUCCAGACUCCUACGGGAGGCAGCAGUAGGGAAUCUUCCGCAAUGGGCGAAAGCCUGACGGAGCAACGCCGCGUGAGUGAUGAAGGUCUUCGGAUCGUAAAACUCUGUUAUUAGGGAAGAACAAAUGUGUAAGUAACUAUGCACGUCUUGACGGUACCUAAUCAGAAAGCCACGGCUAACUACGUG